Molecule: ribosomal RNA, 441 nt
Filed under: uncultured bacterium
Lineage: Bacteria
Description: partial 16S ribosomal RNA
Rfam family: Bacterial small subunit ribosomal RNA
Source: RNAcentral
CCUACGGGUGGCAGCAGUGGGGAAUAUUGGACAAUGGGGGAAACCCUGAAGCAGCGAAGCCGCGUGAGGGAAGAAGUAUCUCGGGAUGUAAAGCUUCUUUUGCAGGGAAGAAAAACGACGGUAGUUGACUAAGAAGCCCCUGCUCAAUACGUGCCAGCAGCCGCGGUAAUACGUAGGGGGCAAGGGUUAUCCGGAUUUACGGGGUGUAACGGGAGCGUAUACGGGGCGGCAAGUCUGAAGUGAAAGGUAGGGGCUUAACCACUGAACUGCGUUGGAAACUGCCAUGUUUGAGUGCUGGAGAGGUAAGUGGAAUGCGUGGUGUAGCGGUGAAAUGCGUAGAUAUUACGAAGAACACCGAUUGCGAAGGCAGCUUACUGGACAAUAACUGACGUUGAGGCUCGAAAGCGUGGGGAGCAAACAGGAUUAGAUACCCUUGUAGUC